AUUAACAAAAACAAGAACAGUGGUUGUGGAAUUCCCUUCUUGGCUGUGUGUUUGUCUUUUUAGUGUUGGAGUGGUAUAAGGUGAGGUUGUAAGAGACCAGGGCCCAUAAAAAGAUAAGUACAUUUCGAGCAAUUGUAAUUGGUCUCUCUCCCUUCACCGCUGGUAGCUUUUAAUAAUUGUUUUUUUCUUUGUGUCUCUUAGUUGGACCGGAGCUGUGGGCCAAAGCGGCGGGUUCGGGGAUGUGGAAUGCUGUUCACCUUUCCUGUAGUGUAGAGCACGCUGGGUGUUGAGAUGUGUGGUUUGUAGUGUUGACUAUUUCCUCUUCCUGUACUUUCUUCUGCCGUGGUAAGCCCUCAGCCCAGUUCCUCCCUAAAUUUGUUUUUAGUAAAGUAAAUUCUACUAUUUCUAUUUUUAUACUGUUGUCCAAGAAGGGAGUUUCUGGUCUGCCCUGUGUGUGUGUGUGGAAAUAUGUUUUAAAAUAAUUGUCAAUAAAUUUUCCUUAACUGAUGGUACCCCGUCUCUGGCCUCCGAGUGUGUCGAACCUGGGUGUCUUAUUCUCUCUUAGGCCUUAAGUGCCAGCCCUCUUUUCCUAGAGGUGAAAUCACCUCUGGGUGGCGUAGUCGUGCAUUAUCAAGAUUACUCCUCUCUGCCACA
Astyanax mexicanus (Mexican tetra) is the source of this 654-nucleotide long non-coding RNA. RefSeq lists it as uncharacterized. The transcript is spliced from 2 exons. NCBI's taxonomy places the organism in Eukaryota, Metazoa, Chordata, Actinopteri, Characiformes, Acestrorhamphidae. The record is from RefSeq and is a predicted model, not a curated record.